Molecule: non-coding RNA, 4051 nt
Organism: Heterocephalus glaber (naked mole-rat)
Lineage: Eukaryota; Metazoa; Chordata; Mammalia; Rodentia; Bathyergidae
Source: RefSeq, a predicted model, not a curated record
GCUCCCCACCCCACCCUGAGUCCCUCCUUCCUCCAAGAAGAACAGUGCUCCAUGUGGAUAUCCCACCAGCCUUGGCCCAGGUUCCUCCCUGAAGAAAAGCUUCCCCAAACAUUCAGCAUACCUUCCCUGUUAUCUCACCCAACCCCUCAAAACCCAGAACAAAAUUAUGGGAGUGAAGAUGUUCCCGGGGCUGAGCCUGCCUUUCCUCUGCACCCAGACACUCAGUGGCCAAUUUCUACGUGAAAGUUGUUGUUCCAGCAGACAAAACCCAAGUGUGCCACAGACCACACCUGUAUAGUCAGUGCCUGGAUCACUCAGACUCUGCUUUGAAGCUUAUUGAGUUUCCCACAUCCACAUGCUCUUUCCUAAGAGACAUCUUCCUUCUGCGCCUAGACUGAGGACAAAGACUGGGACACCUCUGCUGUCGCAGGGAGGGCUCCAUAAAUACCAUGCUUAUGUAGUUUGAUCCCUGAUUCAUGGGCCCAUGACUGGCUAGCAAGGUCCAUACCCCACAGCUGUCCUCCCAGCCUAGCAUCACAGAGCAGGUAUGGAAACUGAAGGAAAACAGCAGCAUGUAGCACGCCAUUUCCCCAUGGGAGGGCACAGAUCAGGGAUGGUGCUCAGGGGUGGUUAUGUCUGGCACUGCCCAGACAGAACAAGGAAACAAAGUUGGUUCUUUAAUGACUGGUUACUGAACAUGGUGCACAUAGAUGUGUCAUGAAAUGACGCCAUUCUACUUUGUAAUUUCUUUUAAUUCAUUCGCUUGGUUUAUAGAGAAAGUAUCUGGAGCGGGGGAUGUAGAGCACUUGCUUAGCAGACAGGAAGUACUCACCACCAGUGUGGGGCAGGGAGAGAUAGAGAGGGAGAAAGAAUUACUCUGCAGUACUAGUGUAUCUUUAACACCCUAAAAACACUUGCUAGCCAUCCCUUUUAAGAAGCUAUCUUAGCAUCAGUACCUUGGCAGGCAACAAUAUCUCCAUAAGAUUACUGAAUAUUGUUUCUUGUAUUUAGUCUGACAGCAGCCUUAAAAUUUUGGCAAGAGACAGAGAUUUCCUAUUUCCAAUGAUGAUAAAGUUUCAUUUUUAAGCAAACUUAAUUGAGCUUCUUUACAGAGAAAUAGUGAAGAGUGCCACAGGUAGUAUGCUGAUGCCACAAAAAAAGAAUGUAAAGGCGUUAUUUCGGCGACAGGAGUUUGAUAGUAUGACAUAAGUGGUAUGAGAAGAAUGACAGAAUUUGGACUCAGAAGUGCCCCUAUUUUCAGGUGACCCCAGAUUCAUUGCUCACCCAGGCAGGCCCUGUGUGUGACAGGCUUGUCCCAAUCAAAUGUGGAAUGGGCAUCACAGUUAACUCCCAAACUUCCAUGGCAUACUGUUUGAUCUAAGAGUAGGCAGUUAGCUUAUCUUAUUUCCCCAGUGAUGACUGGCUUUGGCAGAAGGACGGGCACAUAUGACCUGAUUUACCAUUUGGGAGAAAAGGAAGGGCUUCUAUGUCAUGACUAGAAAAGUAGGAUUUCUGUUUCUCCUGUGAGUAAAAAUGUAUGUCACUCCAGUUGCUCCUGGCUUCCUUAGGGUGAGAGCAAAGCCUAAAACACCAUCAAAGCAAGCUGAAGAGCCCAGGGCCUUGCUACUGUGACUGAAUAUUUCACCCUUCCACACCCAGGUCCUGGCCUGCCUGUCUCCUUCCAGUUAUAAGAUAUGAUGUCAUUCCUUACUGGUUAAUCCAGCUUCAGGUGGGCUGUUCUCUUUCCGCUACAGUCUUAACGUUUGUGUCUCCCCCAAACUCAGAUGUUGAGACUUACUCACCAAUUUGAUGAUAUUAGGAGGCUGGGGCUUUGGGGGACGAUUGGGUCAUGAGGGUAGAGCCCUCAUGAGUAAGAUUAGUGCCCUUAUAAAUGGGGCUCCAGAGAGCUGCCUUGUUGCUUUAGCCACAUGAGGAUACAGUAAGAAAGCGCCAUCCACGGGCUGUGCAAUGAGCUCUCACCAGACACUACAUAUGCCAGGGCUUUGAUCUUGGACUUGCUAAGAUCGUUCAGAUCUGUGAUAAAUUAAUUUCUGUUGCUUCUAAGCCACUCGAUCUACAGCAACCCAAACAGACAAAGUUAACCACAGUUCAAACCCCUUGCUGAUCCUGAACCCUUGGAUGAGUCCCAGAUGUGCUGGAUUCUCUCCCCAAUUGUAAUUAACUACAGAAGUGGAAAGAACAGAGCAAAGGGAUCUAUGCCCCUGGCCAAGUGACCUUGCUAUCUUUACCAUUCAGCAGGAUUUCUGACUGACCAGGAAUACACCACACAAAAAGUUGGUGCACUCAGAUAACCCAAAGGGACAAUGACCAAUCUUCUUGCCAAUAGGUCCUAAUCUACUAGUACCUACCCCAGGCCAUCAUGAAACAGCACUGUCAUGAUCCCACCCAUGCUUAUAUCCCAGCUGGCCCUGCUGUGUUCCACUGUUGGGCCAACUUGGGGCUUCAUACAACUGCCUUCUAUUCUGUGUGUAGUAGUUCUGCCAUCUAAAACCUCCCAACAUGUCAUCAAUCUGUCCCUUCAUUGUUCUCUUCUUCAAACUAAAUCCUUUUGGUUCAUUCUCUUAAGUAUGAUUUUCUAACUUUUUAGCUGGUUUUUGGCUUCAGCCAAAUCCUCCAAUAGCCAAGGUCUGCCAUGAUGAAAACACCUUCAAUUACACGUGGUUGUAAUGAGGCCUGCAAAAGUCUGGGCAUGGGAAACCACACUCUGAGUGUACACUGGGUGCAGCACAAGGACAGAAUGCUGUUGCUGACUGGAGGAAGAACGUGAUUACACUGACCGUUCAUUCUAUUGAGCCGAACCGGUAUUUCAGUUACUGUUGUAAAACUGGCUGCUCCUGCAGGGCCACUGUAUUAGAAGCAGCCCCAGCCAGCGAAUGGGAACCUUCUGCUCUCAACUUAGCUCUUCUGCCUGCUACCUAUCUACAUCUGACCUUGUGCAAGUAAUUCUCCCUACCUGAAUCUUGGUAUCCUCCUAGAUCUGUGAUUUAGUAGCAAAAAUGAAAAGUCACCAACAGGCUAUAGGUUGAAUUGGGGAGUAUUCUGGGCACUUAGUCCAAGGUGGGGCAAGAAAAAACCUGAAAGGAUUGGAUUUUGUUUGAGUAUUUUUCCUUCCUGUCUUCCAGAAUUCCCACAGGCAGGUUCAUACUCCUCCUUUUCCAGGGAAGGUGCCAUGGGGACCACACAAAAUAUUUUUCCCUUUGAUGGCUCAAUAGGCUCUUUGCACCUGCUGUGUAUAGACCUUUUGACUCCCUUUAGAUGUACCAUCACCAAAACUUAUAGAGAUGGACUUUCUGGGGAGGGCCCUUCUCAGCUGUGGGAACAGUCCUAGGUAAAAAAGAAUGAGAAGCAGGACACUAACCUGAGAGUUGUGCUUGCCAUGCAUGGCAAAGUAGUCCAUGUUUUUAAGCAAGAUCUAAAAAGCCCUUCUAUGUGUUGGCCUUAUUUAACUCUCACAGCACAUCUGCAAGGGCAGGUCACAAAGAGAAUGCUCAGCUCGCAUACACACAUACAGCCAUAGCAGGUGUUCAAAUAUUGAAAUACUUCCAAGACAGUUGUUAGAUAGCUUCUUCCCUAAGUCCCGGUUCCCACUUCCUUGGCCCUGGAAAAUAAACAGUGUACCUGGGUACCGAGUGGGGCUCCUAGAACCCAACUCCAGUGCUUACCACAUUUAUUCUUGUCAGUGCCUUGUGAAGUACUUUGAAUAUCAGCUUUGAAGCAUAGUGCAUAUGAGAUUUAAUUAUAUAGCCCAGUGUCUAUAACAAGGUUUGGUUGCUUACCUGUAGGACUAAUGAUGGAUAAAUAAAAUGUAGUGGUAUGGAAUCUACAUGGGAGAUAAUUCAGCCAUAAAAGGAAGUACUGAUUCAUGCUACAAUGUGGAAGAUCCUUGACAAUAUUAUGUUAAAUGAAGGAAGACAGAUAUAAAAGGCUACAUUAGCCUGAUUCUAUUUAUAUAAAAUACCCAGGGCCAGGCAAAUCUGUAGAAACAAAAAGUGCAGGCAUGUUAGCCAGUAGCUUGGUGGCAGGGGUGGGG